AUCACGAAUCUUAUCAGUGGCGACGAAGAUAAAAAGUUUAAUUUCACUGCUUAAGUUCAAACUUCUACAAUUAAUAAUAGUGAAAUAGUGGAGUUUUGCAUGCAAGCCGUUGACGUUUGAGAACCGGGAGACGCCGCUGCCAAGUGAAACGCCAGUGAAAUAGAAGUCACUUCACUGCACUUUGACGUCGUUGGGAGAGUGAGAUCCCUGUGAGCAAUUGUUCUUUUGGGUGAGCUCGUAGUGGAAAGUGAGACCAACACAGUGCAUAUGCAUGUGAGUUGCAUCGUUGGGCCUGUUCAGUGAAGCGAAAUAGUGCAUCCGUUGUUGUCAUUGACCUGCCAUCCAAGAAGUUGCUGUUGCUGUUGCUGGGAUUAUCUGCUGUUGCUGGAAUUGACCGUUGUUGCUAAGAUUGGCUGCUGCUGCUGGAGUUUGUGGACUAAGGUGUUAUCGGAUACAUAUUGCUUGCCGUGUUGCUGUUUUUUGUGGUGGCUGCUGUUUUACCACAACCAGGGUUGUUGUGUGUAUAUUGACCUAUUUACUCAGGUUUCUCUGGGAGGCAGAGUUGUUUCGGCGCACAAGCGUCAGCUCAAGGUAGUACCA
This is a long non-coding RNA of Armigeres subalbatus, 600 nucleotides long. RefSeq lists it as uncharacterized. NCBI's taxonomy places the organism in Eukaryota, Metazoa, Arthropoda, Insecta, Diptera, Culicidae. The transcript is spliced from 3 exons. The record is from RefSeq and is a predicted model, not a curated record.